CGUAACAAGGUCUCCGUAGGUGAACCUGCGGAGGGAUCAUUACACAAAUAUGAAGGCGGGCUGGAACCUCUCGGGGUUACAGCCUUGCUGAAUUAUUCACCCUUGUCUUUUGCGUACUUCUUGUUUCCUUGGUGGGUUCGCCCACCACUAGGACAAACAUAAACCUUUUGUAAUUGCAAUCAGCGUCAGUAACAAAUUAAUAAUUACAACUUUCAACAACGGAUCUCUUGGCUCUGGCAUCGAUGAAGAACGCAGCGAAAUGCGAUAAGUAGUGUGAAUUGCAGAAUUCAGUGAAUCAUCGAAUCUUUGAACGCACAUUGCGCCCUUUGGUAUUCCAAAGGGCAUGCCUGUUCGAGCGUCAUUUGUACCCUCAAGCUUUGCUUGGUGUUGGGCGUCUUGUCUCUAGCUUUGCUGGAGACUCGCCUUAAAGUAAUUGGCAGCCGGCCUACUGGUUUCGGAGCGCAGCACAAGUCGCACUCUCUAUCAGCAAAGGUCUAGCAUCCAUUAAGCCUUUUUUUCAACUUUUGACCUUGGAUCAGGUAGGGAUACCCGCUGAACCUAAGCAUAUCA
Molecule: ribosomal RNA, 570 nt
Filed under: uncultured fungus
Lineage: Eukaryota; Fungi
Description: eukaryotic LSU rRNA
Rfam family: 5.8S ribosomal RNA (bases 208-361)
Source: RNAcentral